RNAcentral lists this ribosomal RNA (253 nucleotides) under uncultured bacterium. RNAcentral's name for it is "partial 16S ribosomal RNA". It matches the Rfam family "Bacterial small subunit ribosomal RNA", at positions 524 to 776 of the family's 1533-position model. The record is from RNAcentral.
GACAGAGGGUGCAAGCGUUGCUCGGAAUUACUGGGCGUAAAGCGCGUGUAGGCGGACCAACAAGUCGGACGUGAAAGCCCUGGGCUCAACCCAGGAACUGCAUCCGAAACUGUUGGCCUGGAGUGGUGGAGAGGGAAGCAGAAUUCCUGGUGUAGAGGUGAAAUUCGUAGAUAUCAGGAGGAACACCGGUGGCGAAGGCGGCUUCCUGGACAAUUACUGACGCUGAGACGCGAAAGCGUGGGGAGCAAACAGG